AGGAAUAUUGGUCAAUGGGCGCAGGCCUGAACCAGCCAAGUAGCGUGAAGGAUGACUGCCCUAUGGGUUGUAAACUUCUUUUAUAAAGGAAUAAAGUCGGGUAUGUAUACCCGUUUGCAUGUACUUUAUGAAUAAGGAUCGGCUAACUCCGUGCCAGCAGCCGCGGUAAUACGGAGGAUCCGAGCGUUAUCCGGAUUUAUUGGGUUUAAAGGGAGCGUAGACGGGUCGUUAAGUCAGCUGUGAAAGUUUGGGGCUCAACCUUAAAAUUGCAGUUGAUACUGGCGUCCUUGAGUACGGUUGAGGCAGGCGGAAUUCGUGGUGUAGCGGUGAAAUGCUUAGAUAUCACGAAGAACCCCGAUUGCGAAGGCAGCCUGCUAAACCGCCACUGACGUUGAGGCUCGAAAGUGUGGGUAUCAAACAGGAUUAGAUACCCUGGUAGUCCACACGGUAAACGAUGGAUACUCGCUGUUGGCGAUAGACUGUCAGCGGCUUAGCGAAAGCGUUAAGUAUCCCACCUGGGGAGUACGCCGGCAACGGUGAAACUCAAAGGAAUUGACGGGGGCCCGCACAAGCGGAGGAACAUGUGGUUUAAUUCGAUGAUACGCGAGGAACCUUACCCGGGCUUAAAUUGCAGAUGAAUUACGGUGAAAGCCGUAAGCCGCAAGGCAUCUGUGAAGGUGCUGCAUGGUUGUCGUCAGCUCGUGCCGUGAGGUGUCGGCUUAAGUGCCAUAACGAGCGCAACCCUUGUUGUCAGUUACUAACAGGUUCCGCUGAGGACUCUGACAAGACUGCCAUCGUAAGAUGUGAGGAAGGUGGGGAUGACGUCAAAUCAGCACGGCCCUUACGUCCGGGGCUACACACGUGUUACAAUGGGGGGUACAGAGGGCCGCUACCACGCGAGUGGAUGCCAAUCCCCAAAACCUCUCUCAGUUCGGACUGGAGUCUGCAACCCGACUCCACGAAGCUGGAUUCGCUAGUAACCGCGCAUCAGCCACGGCGCGGUGAAUACGUUCCCG
RNAcentral lists this ribosomal RNA (1016 nucleotides) under uncultured bacterium. RNAcentral describes it as "bacterial SSU rRNA". It matches the Rfam family "Bacterial small subunit ribosomal RNA", at positions 357 to 1376 of the family's 1533-position model. The record is from RNAcentral.